Molecule: unclassified non-coding RNA, 294 nt
Filed under: uncultured fungus
Lineage: Eukaryota; Fungi
Description: sequence contains ITS1
Source: RNAcentral
CGGGACUACCGGGGUUUCUAAUCCUGUUUGCUCCCCACGCUUUCGCGCCUCAGCGUCAAUUACGGGCCAGAUAGCCGCCUUCGCCACCGGUGUUCUUCCCAAUAUCUACGAAUUUCACCUCUACACUGGGAAUUCCACUAUCCUCUCCCGCAUUCAAGCCAAUCAGUAUCAAGCGCAGCCCCCAGGUUGAGCCCGGGAAUUUCACGCCUGACUUGAUCGGCCGCCUACGCGCCCUUUACGCCCAGUAAUUCCGAACAACGCUUGCCCCCUUCGUAUUACCGCGGCUGCUGACAC